CAACCUGCGGUAAAGGGCCCAGCUUUGCUGGGUUCCUCCGAGUUGGCGAACGGGUGAGUUAACACGUUGGGUUGAUCUGCCCCUGACUUUGGGAUAAGCCUGGGAAACUGGGUCUAAUACCGAAUAUUCAUUUUUCCUCGCAUGGGGAUUGGUGGAAAGCUUUUGCGGUUGGGGAUGGGCCCGCGGCCUAUCAGCUUGUUGGUGGGGUAAUGGCCUACCAAGGCGACGACGGGUAGCCGACCUGAGAGGGUGAUCGGCCACACUGGGACUGAGACACGGCCCAGACUCCUACGGGAGGCAGCAGUGGGGAAUAUUGCACAAUGGGCGCAAGCCUGAUGCAGCGACGCCGCGUGAGGGAUGACGGCCUUCGGGUUGUAAACCUCUUUCACCUCCGACGAACCGCAAGUGACGGUAGGAGCAGAACAAGCACCGGCCAACUACGUGCCAGCAGCCGCGGUAAUACGUAGGGUGCAAGCGUUGUCCGGAAUUACUGGGCGUAAAGAGCUCGUAGGCGGUUUGUCGCGUCGUCUGUGAAUUCUGCACCUUAACUGCAGGCGUGCAGGCGAUACGGGCAGACUUGAGUACUACGGGGAGACUGGAAUCGGUCUAC
Molecule: ribosomal RNA, 610 nt
Filed under: Gordonia sputi
Lineage: Bacteria; Bacillati; Actinomycetota; Actinomycetes; Mycobacteriales; Gordoniaceae
Description: bacterial SSU rRNA
Rfam family: Bacterial small subunit ribosomal RNA
Source: RNAcentral